RNAcentral lists this ribosomal RNA (652 nucleotides) under uncultured bacterium. Its description in RNAcentral is "bacterial SSU rRNA". It matches the Rfam family "Bacterial small subunit ribosomal RNA", at positions 505 to 1163 of the family's 1533-position model. The record is from RNAcentral.
GUGCCAGCCGCCGCGGUAAUACGGAGGGUGCAAGCGUUAAUCGGAAUUACUGGGCGUAAAGCGCACGCAGGCGGUCUGUCAAGUCGGAUGUGAAAUCCCCGGGCUCAACCUGGGAACUGCAUCCGAAACUGGCAGGCUAGAGUCUUGUAGAGGGGGGUAGAAUUCCAGGUGUAGCGGUGAAAUGCGUAGAGAUCUGGAGGAAUACCGGUGGCGAAGGCGGCCCCCUGGACAAAGACUGACGCUCAGGUGCGAAAGCGUGGGGAGCAAACAGGAUUAGAUACCCUGGUAGUCCACGCCGUAAACGAUGUCGACUUGGAGGUUGUGCCCUUGAGGCGUGGCUUCCGGAGCUAACGCGUUAAGUCGACCGCCUGGGGAGUACGGCCGCAAGGUUAAAACUCAAAUGAAUUGACGGGGGCCCGCACAAGCGGUGGAGCAUGUGGUUUAAUUCGAUGCAACGCGAAGAACCUUACCUACUCUUGACAUCCAGAGAACUUAGCAGAGAUGCUUUGGUGCCUUCGGGAACUCUGAGACAGGUGCUGCAUGGCUGUCGUCAGCUCGUGUUGUGAAAUGUUGGGUUAAGUCCGCAACGAGCGCAACCCUUAUCUUGUUGCCAGCGGUCCGGCGGAACUCAAAGAGACUGCCAGUGAUAAAU